AACGCACCUUGCGCCCUUUGGUAUUCCGAAGGGCAUGCCUGUUCGAGUGUCUUGAAUUCAUCGCGACCCGAGGUUUGCUUUGCGAGCCUUCCGGGACCGCGGAAGUGGGGGCCUGCCGCCGCGAGGCGGCUCCCCUCAAAUGCAUCGGUGGGGUCUCCGGACAUCCCGGGCGUUGUACUGUCCUCGUCCGAACAUGGGUUCCGGUUCAAGCCCCCGCCUCGACCGUUCCGUGCGAGCGGCGGUCUUUUGCGGCUUUGCUGCCGAACGAAAUCUGACCUCGAAUCAGGUAGGACUACCCGCUGAACUUAA
Molecule: unclassified non-coding RNA, 309 nt
Filed under: uncultured fungus
Lineage: Eukaryota; Fungi
Description: partial contains 5.8S ribosomal RNA, internal transcribed spacer 2, and large subunit ribosomal RNA
Rfam family: 5.8S ribosomal RNA (bases 1-52)
Source: RNAcentral